Capsicum annuum is the source of this 1862-nucleotide long non-coding RNA. RefSeq lists it as uncharacterized. Lineage: Eukaryota; Viridiplantae; Streptophyta; Magnoliopsida; Solanales; Solanaceae. The record is from RefSeq and is a predicted model, not a curated record. The transcript has 5 exons.
GUACUUUUCUAGAAAACUCAUAUUUCUUCUUCCCAAAAAACACUUCGUAUUCUCCGAUGAAACAAUUUUCUCAAUCUGAAGUUUCAUUUCAACAUUUAUUCUUUUAAGCCUGUUUGAUGCUGGAAAAUUUAACAUCUUAUUUUAUUUUUCUGAAAUUUAAGCAUGUAUGUUGAACGGAUAUUGAUGUUUAAAGAAUUGUGGAUUUUCAAGAGCUGUGUGAAAAAAAAUUGAUUUAUAUUUGUAAAAAUGACUCAUCAGAUUAAGCAACCUUGUAGAGAUCAUCUCUGUGAAAGAAUAGUCUGUGUUGAAUCUUCAAAUUUGAGUGGAUAUGCCUCGAGUUGUUGCUAUCAAUUCCCAAGCAUGCACUAAAGAGUGGAUUUCAUUUGAGAAAACGUAACCUUUACUUCUCAGAUACAGCACUUAUAUGGACUUUUGAUGAUAUUGUGGACAGCCUUGAGAAUGCUGGAGACGCUUCUGUUCUGCCGAUGCUAACGGCUGCCAGAUUAAUCAUGUAGCUGUUAGCUUUAAGAAGGAAAGGUUCGAUGGUCUCUACCUGUCAUGGCAUAGACAUCCAGGUUGCCUCACAGCUCCAGGGGAAUUUGCGCCCUUGAGUGUCCGAGGGCUGACAAUGCCAAAAAAAGGUUGCUCGUGUUGUUUCAUCAUUUAUGCAAGCGUGCUUUUCGGUAAUGUGAUCCACACUUUUUUUGGUGAGGUGGAUUUUUUUUUAUUCAACCAAGUUAUGUACAUGCUAUUCCAUGAGACCCUAGGAAUAUCUCUCUCAGGUAACUAUCCAAAUUAAAAUCAUCUUCAGUCCAAGAUUUGCUAGCCAGCAGUAGUACAGAUAUAGCACAUUCUAGGAAGGGUAUACACCUAAGCAGUUGAGUCUCUUGAUCAAUGAAAAUUGUCUCUGUUUUGGUUUGAAGUAUAAAAAAUCCAAGGGAUAAGUUAUCCCGGGAUAAAAUAAAAGAUCACUUAGUCCCUUGUUUGGUUGGAGGGAUUAAUCCAACCCGGGAUAACUUAUCCCACCAUUUUCCCCUUAGUGAUGGGAUAACUUAUCCCAUAUACAUGGUGUAUUAGUUAUCCCGGGAUAACAAUUUCCCAACCAAACGACCCCUAUUACAGUUUUUUCCCUUCUCACAAUUUAACUUGUAAUAUUAAAGUAAUUUAAAAUAAUAAUAACUAAUAUGCCAGGGAAAUGUAUCUCCAAAUUUUGAAAUUUUGUUGCAUGUUGAACCCAAUACAAAAUUCAGGGGAUUCGUUUGUGAGGGCUACUAAGAUGAGUCUAAUUGAUGAUCGUCAAGGUAGUUUGAAAUCAUUAGCUUGGGGAAGAUUCCUUCCAUUAGAACGGGUUCGUCAUUUGACCUAUUCUUCUCUGCAAAGUGUAUCAUACGAACAGAGCCAAGUAAUAUGAAAGUAAAGUAAUAUGAAAGUAAAGGAGUAAUUCGAGAGCGACAUCUGGUGGAGUUGCCUUUUGCGAGUAAAAUCAACAAUGCGAGAAGUAAGUGGUUUGAAAUUAGGUUCGUAACAUAAUCGUCUUUUGAAUCUGCCCAAAUAAUACCUUCUCGACGCCGGCAACGAAGAAGAUGACGAUGACAAUGUCAGUCUCUGAAAUGCAUUUUGAUUGCGUUGCUGCUGCAAGGAUUUUGUUUGUGCGAUUACAUUUAAAAGAGUGUUGCUUCAGUUGCUAUAUAUUGAUUCAUCUAUGACAAAUUGCCAAUGUAUUCAACAACACUGAUUCCUUUGAUUGUGAAGUUGCAUUUUGCCUAUAUUUUUCUGUGUUUUUUUUUUUUUGCCAUAAAAUGAAACCCAACAAUGUAUUUCAGUUGCUACAAAAGAGGCUUAAAAGCGUGUAUUUAUUUAUU